GUAAAAGUCGUAACAAGGUUUCCGUAGGUGAACCUGCGGAAGGAUCAUUAUUGAAAUAAACCUGAUGGGUUGUUGCUGGUUCUCUAGGGAGCAUGUGCACGCUUGUCAUCUUUAUAUCUCCACCUGUGCACUUUUUGUAGACCUGGAUAAUCUUUCUGAAUGCACUUGCAUUUCAGGUUUGAGGAAUUGACUUCAUGUCUCUCCUUACAUUUCCAGGCCUAUGUUUCUUCAUAUACCCCUAUGUAUGUUUCAGAAUGUAACAGGAUGGGCCUUUUGUGCCUAUAAAUAUAUACAACUUUCAGCAACGGAUCUCUUGGCUCUCGCAUCGAUGAAGAACGCAGCGAAAUGCGAUAAGUAAUGUGAAUUGCAGAAUUCAGUGAAUCAUCGAAUCUUUGAACGCACCUUGCGCUCCUUGGUAUUCCGAGGAGCAUGCCUGUUUGAGUGUCAUUAAUAUAUCAACCUCUUCGGCUUAUGCUUGUUGAGUGUUGGAUGGUGGGGGUUUUGCUGGUGUCUUAUGAAGUCAGCUCCCCUGAAAUGCAUUAGCGGAACAAUUUGUUGACCGUUCAUUGGUGUGAUAAAAUAUCUACGCUAUUGACGUCAGUCAGUUCAGCUUCUAACAGUCCAUUGACUUGGACAAAUUUUCAUUAAUGUGACCUCAAAUCAGGUAGGACUACCCGCUGAACUUAAGCAUAUCAAUAAGCGGAGGAAAAGAAACUAACAAGGAUUCCCCUAGUAACUGCGAGUGAAGCGGGAAAAGCUCAAAUUUAAAAUCUGGCAGUCUUUGGCUGUCCGAGUUGUAAACUAGAGAAGUGUUAUCCGCGCUGGACCGUGU
RNAcentral lists this ribosomal RNA (832 nucleotides) under Cortinarius infractus. RNAcentral's name for it is "eukaryotic LSU rRNA". The stretch from base 294 to 447 matches the Rfam family "5.8S ribosomal RNA". Lineage: Eukaryota; Fungi; Basidiomycota; Agaricomycetes; Agaricales; Cortinariaceae. The record is from RNAcentral.